GGACUACCCGCUGAACUUAAGCAUAUCAAUAAGCGGAGGAAA
This 42-nucleotide ribosomal RNA is filed under the name Phanerochaete calotricha. RNAcentral's name for it is "partial 28S ribosomal RNA". The record is from RNAcentral. Lineage: Eukaryota; Fungi; Basidiomycota; Agaricomycetes; Polyporales; Phanerochaetaceae.